GGGGGUAGUUUUUAGUACGAAGGCGCCAUGGAUCGCGAAUCGUGCUUGUUGCUACUAAGAACCAGCAGUAUCGCUUGAAGAUUUUCUACCUCC
This is a non-coding RNA of Glossina palpalis gambiensis, 93 nucleotides long. The record is from Rfam. Lineage: Eukaryota; Metazoa; Arthropoda; Insecta; Diptera; Glossinidae.